CUCUCUCUCUUUCUCUUAAUUACAUGAAUUUCUUAUUUCUUUUUCUAAUUAAUUAAUUGUUCUUUCCUGUUUUUAGAAUUUCGUGUGAUCAUUAAUUAAAACAGUUCUCUUUCUUCCCUUUGAUUGGAAAAGAUUUACUUCCAAUCUAAAGAGAACAUUUUCUCUCUAGAAAAUGGAAGAAAAAAAGAAAAACUCUCAUGGCUCAUCUUCCUCAAUUUCUUUUCCCUCUCUCUCUCUCUUUUUCUCUCUUUGUGAACUUGACAUUGUCAAGUGAUUUUUACUGUUAUUUUUAUGGUUAUCUGGUUUUUAAUUUGGUUCCUUGUCUUCCCUGUUUCUUAUUUUACAUUUAGAUCUUCUUCUCCUUCCGAGUAAUAAUCUUUGGCAUUCACUUUCCCCCUUCUUCGUCUUUGGUUACUAAGCGUAUUUAGAAUUUGGUUAUAGACUCUCUCUCUCUCUCUGGUUUUCUAUUACACCUUGGAUCAUUUUCUUCACAUUUCCACUUAUCUUUUGGACUUGAAAGACUCUGGAAACUGUUAUAAUGUCUCAUGGAACGAGAUAUUUGGUCUGGUUAAGAUGAAAUGAAUCUCAUUGACUUGAAUAAUCUCUCAUGUCAUUCUCUCUCUCUCUCUCUCUUUCUCUUUUUCUCUCUGAUACCCAGGCUCUUGUUUCCAUAUUUUUCCAUUGGCAAACAUAAAUUUCUGGUUCUCUUUUUGGCUUUCAAUUGGUUCUUUCAUUUUCUUUCUUCAAGUAAUUGUUUUUCCUCGUCCAGGGAAACAUAUUGUUGAAAUUGAAGAGAAAAAUUGUAAUACUUCUGGUUCCAAGUUCUUUUCUUUCUCUCUCUCUCUCUCUCUUGCUCCAAAUCUUGAGAUUGAAAUGGAAUCAUUUCAGUAGAUAUACACACUUUUCUUCAAUAACCCAGAGCAACGAUUCAGUUUCAAUUCUUGCCCACCUUAUAUUCUGCUCUUUUUAAAGGCAACAAACAGACCAGAGGGCUUCUCACAGCAGGACCAAAGCUUCACCAAAAUUGAUCUGCCAUCAAGACAGACUUCUUAAUACCUGAGGCGAGAAAAAAAACCUAAACUCUCUCUCUCUCUCUCUCUCUCUCUCUCUCUCUCUCUCUCUCUCUCUCUCUCUCUCUCUCUCUCUCUCUCCGUUUGGAACAUCCCUACGAAAAGAGCUCUCCUGAAGACCGGUCCUUGAGGGUGAUAAAAAGUCUCCAACCGAGGAUGAGAGUGUUUCUAUCAUUAUACUUAUCAUUUGCUACUCUUUUACAUUGGUGGAGAAUCUUUAUAAACAAGAGAAAAAGAAAUGAUAGUUUUUAAAUACUCACCUUAGGAAAAGAUAUCAACGGAGGCUGAAGAAGGAGAUGAUGAUAAUUAUGAUAAUGGGAUAGAAAGAGAGGAAACUGAGAAAGAUCAAUUGACAGAUUAGAAGACACCUUGGUCACCUCAAGAAGAUUCUCUCUUGCUCUCUCAUCUUCUCAUCUUUAUGUUUUCCUCUUUUUCAAGCUACCUGUCAAUUCAAUCAAUAUAUUUUUCUCAUCAAAAGCCCUAAUGAUUCUGUCAAUCAAAAAGACCUUUGCAAGUCUUCACUGAGCAAUUGGAAAACAUCAUCAACAUUAAUAAAAAGAAUUGAUUAGUUUGGAGAAAAAGGUAAACCUUGAACCUUUUCUCUUAUUCUUCAUCUUCUUCUAUGUAAAAUGAACUCAUUUUCUUAGAAGAUAAAUCAAUUCGUUGUGGAAGUUUGUUGAUGAAUUUCAAUGGAAGAGAAAAAAGGUUAAAGUAAAUAAGUAAAAGAAGAAGAGAAACAAAAAAGGAAAUGAUCAAUAGGAAGAUGAUGAUAGAAAGAGAAACCAAAGAAAUGAGGCCAAUAAUUAGACCAAGUCCACAGUUUACCGUAACGGGGUAACGUUAGUGUGAGUAUUGAUGAUGAUUAUCAUUAGCAGCUCACUCAGUUAAUUUUCAGCUUUGCUUAUUCACGAUUUCUGCAUUUUCCAAUCAAAAUGAUGAAAAUUUACAAGGAAAACGUCACCGUCACCCAACUGUGAAAUGAAGGAAAAAUGAAGAAGAUGAAAAUCAUCAUCACCAUCAAGCAAUAAAGAAGGAGGAGAAAUCAAGCUAAUAAUAUGAGACCUAAAGUGAUAUGUAUUUAUAUUUAAUAACGAUUAAGGUAACUGGUUACUUUUUAUAAAUAAUGUUUACCUUAUUAACCUAAGGUAAAAAGCUCACUUAUCAUAUUGAAUGAGAAUUGAGCCAAAAAGGUAAAUCACAUUCACGGACCCAUCAGAAUAUUAAAUAAGCACUUCACUCAAACGUCAACUCACAGGAUAAAAUUAAACGUCAAAAUUUUGCUCAUUUUGUUGAUCAUCAUCAUCAUCAUCAUAAUCCCAAGAUAAAUAGUGAUAAGAUGAUUUAUAAUAAUGGAAUAACUUUUUUUUUCUUAUUCCUCUUAAAUCAGUUAUUAUUAAUUAUCGGUAAAAAAAGAGGAUGAGGAUGGAGAUAAACUGAUAAAUAAGAUGAUGAAGAAAGAGACACAUGAAGUUACCUGGAUUUUGCGGAAUAAUCAUCUUGGAAUCAUUAAAUAUUAAUACAUCGCUAUCGUCAUCAUCGUUUUUUUUAUUGGUAUAUCGAGGAAAAAGUAGUUUAGAAAAUGGAGUCACGGAAAUAAUCAUCAACCAUCAUCAUCAUUAUCAUCAGAAAAUGAUACUUGAUGAUCAGUUAGAUUUUUUCGUUCACAUGACAUACUAGAGAGAGAAAGAAAGAAAGAAAGAGAGAGAGAGAGGGUUAUCCUUGAAAAACACUUAAGAAUGAGAAAAAAAUCGGAAAAAGUAGUUCGAUAUUUAGUUCAUGUUCUAAUCCGUAAACAUGAUGUUAUUCAGUAGCAAAGUCUGAGAAGAUGAACUGUUCACGAUAAUGAAAUGAAGUAAAAAAAACAUGAAAAUGAUGAUAAAGAGAUGGUAAAGGAUAUCAGAGUAACAGGAUAUUCACAUUUACAACAUUCACUCGUGGAAUCAGUUUAACAUGAUCAUUACGAAUGGACAAUCAUCAUGACCGAGAAGAAGCAAAAGUUGCAAAUGAAAUAAAACAGAAAGUUCAUCUCACAGGAAGAGACGAAAAAGAAGAAGAUGAAGACGAACCAAGAAAAGUAGAGAAAACCUAAGAAAGAUACAAGGAAGAAGCAGAACAACAUAAACAAGAGAAGAGAGAAAAGAGAAAAAGAUGAGGAUGAGAGAGAGAGAGAGAGAGAGAGAGAGCAAAAAAAGGCAGAGAAGAAGAAGGAAGUUUGUUCUCUAUUCUCAUGCUGAACACAUAUUACUUGUGACAAUACCUUUUCCCACUCCCACUUUCCACCCUCGAUUUUUUUUCUUAUUCAUUGUAAAUAUUUACUCACAGAUUCUUGGGUUUUUAGGUUGCUGGAAAAACAUACAUUUCUCUCAGUGUUUCCAUGGACAACAGUAAAUAUCUGACUGUUUGUAUUAAUAUCAUUCAGUUUCUAUUGAGAUGAUUGCAGAAAAUUUAACAAUAAGUAACCAUUUACAGAAAGAGAGUAAACCAAGAAGAUGAAGAUAAUAUUGCAAAUGUCACUUUCUUUCUGACUCAAAGAUGAUUUCAUCUUAUUCCUGAUGACAUAACAUAUAUUACAUUCCCUGUUUAUCCUCAUCACCAACAACAACAACAAUGACAUUAUCUUAUAUCACCAAUGUGACACAUAAAAAUUUACUACUUUAUGUAUACACACACACACAUAUGAUGAUCAUUAUUAUGUAUAACUUUGAGUGAAACAAUUUCAUCUUAAUCAUCAUUUCAUCUUGCUCAUUUAUCCCUCAUCUUUUAUCACUCAGCUCAAUCUUCAUCAUCAUCAUCAUCAUCGCCAUCCUAAUGUCUAUAUAUGUGAAUAUAUGUUUGUUAAUUUACAGAAAAAGGUGAAACUUUAAAGGAACAACAAACUUGAGCUAAAUAAUGAUCACAACUAAACUUAAUUAACAAGGUUAACUAACAUGAUCAGGAUCAUUAAUUGAUAACAUUCAAAAUAGACCUUAAUUAAAGGUGAAUUGAAAAAAAACCUUCUCAAAGCAAGAAAAUUAAUGUUACCAAAACAAAAGCGCUUAUAUUUUAUCAACAUUAAAUUAACUUUUAAUAGUAAUUGUAAUCAAGAUAAUAUAUCAAAAACAAUAUCAUCAUCAUCAUCAUCGUGAAUUAUAUUCAGGUAACAACAAUUUAGUUCAACUUUCAUUAGUUGAUUGUUAAGUUAAUGGUUGAUUAUAAAUGUUGAUAAGGAACCGAAAAUAAUAAUAUUAAGUUAACUAUCCAAGGUUAACUAAAUCACACUUUCCAUUGAGUGGAAGCCACAGCAAUUUAAUAAUAAUCAACACUGAUCAUUAAUAUUUAGAUUAACAAAAUUUUAAUCACUUUUCGCAAUUACAAUUAACUUUUCUUGUUACCUUGUUGUUGUUGUUAUUAUUAUUAUUGUUUGAUUGUAAUCAAUUGUAAGAUCAAUAACUUAUUAAUAAAAGA
Panonychus citri (citrus red mite) is the source of this 4514-nucleotide long non-coding RNA. RefSeq lists it as uncharacterized. The record is from RefSeq and is a predicted model, not a curated record. Lineage: Eukaryota; Metazoa; Arthropoda; Arachnida; Trombidiformes; Tetranychidae. The transcript has 11 exons.